UACGAAGGGGGCUAGCGUUGUUCGGAAUUACUGGGCGUAAAGCGCGCGCAGGCGGUUUUUCAAGUCAGUGGUGAAAGCCCGGAGCUCAACUCCGGAACUGCCAUUGAAACUGUAGAACUUGAGGACGAGAGAGGUGAGUGGAAUUCCCAGUGUAGAGGUGAAAUUCGUAGAUAUUGGGAAGAACACCGGUGGCGAAGGCGGCUCACCGGCUCGUUUCUGACGCUCAGGCGCGACAGCGUGGGGAUCAAACAGG
RNAcentral lists this ribosomal RNA (253 nucleotides) under uncultured bacterium. Its description in RNAcentral is "partial 16S ribosomal RNA". It matches the Rfam family "Bacterial small subunit ribosomal RNA", at positions 524 to 776 of the family's 1533-position model. The record is from RNAcentral.